Molecule: ribosomal RNA, 125 nt
Organism: Danio rerio (zebrafish)
Lineage: Eukaryota; Metazoa; Chordata; Actinopteri; Cypriniformes; Danionidae
Source: Ensembl
UUUAAAGCCAUGGGUUUAUUUGGCCACAGCAGACCAAGAUCAGUCACUCACUGAAGCUAAGCAGAGCUGAGCCUGGUCAGUACCUGGAUGGGAGACCACAUGGGAAAACUAGGUUGCUGUUGGAA